Long non-coding RNA from Oncorhynchus mykiss (rainbow trout), 5238 nucleotides. Lineage: Eukaryota; Metazoa; Chordata; Actinopteri; Salmoniformes; Salmonidae. The record is from Ensembl.
UCUGCAGUAAUGGUAUGUGGAGAUGGUGUGACUUCUGACAAGGAGGAGUACACCCCCCUGAGGGAUCAUCAGUGUCUCUGAGAUGUAUAUAUAAAACAAGCAGCAGUAACAUCUACCUUUACUGGUACCAAAAAUACCCUAACCAGGCACCUUAGUGCCUACUGUAUAAAGGUGCCAGAGCAAAUAGAGUUGACCAUAUCUCUAGUCAUCUGUAUGAAUCUACAACGUCCCAAACGUAAACUACACUCAAGAUAAAACAAGUGACUCUGGCAGACACGGCUCUCUGCUACUGUUCCCUGAAGGACGCCCAGUGAUACAGAGUUUCUGAGAGGAUGUACAAAAAGUAAUAGAGUGAUAAAUGACUUGUCAACAGAGGGUCUGUAGAUGUGAUUAUUGUGGUAACACGUGCUGUUAGAGUAAGUAAAAACACAUUUAGCAUAGAGAAACGUAUAUUACUAAAAAUAGAGAAUGUUAUAAAGAUGGAUAACAAAGCAUUUGAAAAUGCAUUUUUAGUCCUAUUAUUCAUUCACUUCAGAAGAUCCUCUGAAAAAAUGAGUUGUGUUUAGAGGAGGAGCUAAUAUGAGAAUGAAAAGGAGACACUCAAAAUGGCAUGAAGGUCUUUCCUCAACUGUCAGUUAACAUUGACAAAGUAGCCAAAACGUGUGGAUCUGGAGAUCUUCUCUGCUGAUGUGACAGACUCUGCUCUGUACUACUGUGCUCUGCAGCCCAGAGUGACAGGAAACCCAUAAACACUGUACAAAAACAUAAGACACUGCAUAUAGACAUUUAAUUAUUUAUGUCAUAUACAACAACAUUUCCUGUCUGGGUAAGGUACAUCCCCUUUCUCUCUGCAGAAAACUAUCCGCAUCAAGCAAUGCAGCAACAGAAUCCAGAAACCAAGGCUGAGAUCUGAUCUGGUAUUUCUAUGUUCCACAUGGAGAACUCUCUGAUACUGGUUCUCAUUCUAGCCUCAGGACAGAUUGCUGGGGAUCACAUUAAUCCUGUAAAUAAUGAAGUGAUCAGUACAGAGGGAGAACUUGUGACUCUGAGCUGUUCAUAUGACACAAGCAGUGAAUAUCCUCUGCUUUACUGGUACCGACAUUAUUCUAACCAGGCUCCUCAGUUUCUGCUGUAUAAAGGUGCCAGAUCAUGGAGCUCUGAAGAACAUAUCCCUGAUAAGAGAUAUACAUCCACAACAUCCCGGACAUCAACUGAACUGGUGAUAACAAGCCUAACCCUGGCAGACACAGCUCUCUACUACUGUGCUGUUGACACAGUGAUACAAAAUGUAUAAUACAUCAUACAAAAACCUGCAGACCAAAAUGCUUUGAUGAAGUGGAAAUCAUAAUUAACCAUCAACCACAUUUGAUGUCAUAAUGGCAGAAGUUGAGAUCAGAGAAAUGUGGUCACACCUGUGCUGUGUUCAAUCACCAGGCGGUCUAGUUUGUCUCUGUCUUCAUAUUCAAUGCACUGUGAGAAAUAUGUAUUCUUCACUCUUCAAUCAGUAGUCUUCAAUUUCACUUACCGUAGGCAGUUUUUUUUAUAUAUUGGUUGGAUAAUCACUUUGGAAUAUUGUUAUUUAUUGAUGGCCUUAUUCACAAUUCACACAGCUUGGUGGUGUAGUAGGAAAGUCAACCUGCAGGGUGCAACCUAACAAAGCACACACACUCCUGAAUCAGAGGAUGUCAUACAGACAGACACCUCCCCAUGGUCUACUACUUCAUGUAAUACAGAACAUGAAGCAUCAACAGUAGGACAGAGUGUGUCAAAGCUCUGUGAUAGAGAGAUCAGCAUUGUUCUGCUCCUUACCUUUUCCACUUCAUACUGACUGACUAGUCAUGAGAAAUUGGCUGAUCCUGCAUAUUCUGGCUGCAUGCUGUUUUGGAAUAACAUCACUCUGUUCAUCUGUCUCUUUCUGCACAUUUGUUAAUUUAAUUUGAAGUGAUGUAAUUUGUAAUGAUGUAAUGGUCGUAGAAGGACAACCAACAACACUCACUUAUCUGUUUGAUACAACUUCUCAAUCACCAUAUCUCUUCUGGUACAAACAACUAGCAAAUAUCAACUGCAUGUUUAUGCUGAGAAGAAAUGUUCACAUGCAGACAGUACUACUGAGUUCAAGGAGAGAUUUGAUGCCCAUCUGAAUGUCACAGCAAAAUCAUUCCCCUUGAAGAUCCAGAGGUUACAGCUGUCUGACUCUGCUGUGUAUGACUGUGCUCUGAGGCCCACUGUGACAACAGGAUAUACUGCCCCUUUACAAAAACGUGUGUUUGUGUGUGUGUAAAGUAUUUUGUGUUGUGUGAUGUUUUUUAAGGGGAGGUGUUACAUAAUUGAGGCGGAGGAAGAGAAAUGCAUGUUAGACUGUAGCUGGCAGUGAGAAACCAGGGGAGUCAUUUUGUCAUAAUUAUACUUGUGUUCACUCUUUUCACUGUGUCAAGUAACACUUACCAGCAUGUUACUAGGAUACAUUUUAAUAUAUGCACUAGUGGGUGAGUAUGAUACUAUUCUUCGUAUCUAAUUACAUAUCCAAUGUAAUUACUGGAGCCUGGAGUAAUAUUACUGUGAAGGAUCUUUUAUACAUUUUUAAGACACUUCAUUGAAUUAAGAGUUGAAUUUUAUGAUCAUUUCCAAAUAAAAAAUAUUGUUUUCAUAAAUGUUUUACAGGUGGCUGUCAAGGGAAGGACAUUACUCCAACAACAGAUAAGGUGUUUGGGUUGGAGGGUGAUGUCAUAAAUCUGUCCUGUAACUACUCCUCUGCUAGUACUCUCCAGUGGUAUCAACAGUACCCUGGAUCAUCUCCCAAAUUCCUUCUCCUCACUACAGUCUCCUCAAACCCCUCUGUAGUGAACGCUACUCCUCCAUACCCACAUCUGUCUAUUAAACUGAAUAAGGAGAGAACCCGUGUGGAUCUGGAGAUCUCCUCUGCUGAUGAAACAGACUCUGCUCUGUACUACUGCGCCCUGGAGCCCACAGUGACAGGAAAUCCUGAAACACUGUACAAAAAUCUGACAGCUCAUGAUAAACACGUCUUGUGCAUAUUUUAGUGCAGAGGUGGGGCAUCCUACUGUAUGUUCAAGAAAAUGUAUUAUCUUUUAUUAAAAAACUGUGUUGGGACUUCACUCCAGCAUAUAACCUCAGCAACAAUGGCUCUCUACGGAGUUAUUUUACUUUCUGCUCUGACAGGUUAGUAAAUUAAUGUAUUACUGUCAUUAUUUUUACAACAUAUAUUAUUUCCUCAUUUCAAAUACAUUUCUCUUGUAAUUGAUCUGUCACCUAUUCAUAUUUGUCGAUGGCAGUUUUCAGCAGACCUUCCAGACAAACCAACAUGAAGUGUAUGAAGAGGAGGGCAGUAAUGUUCAGCUUUCCUGCUACUACACUCAGCAUACAGUGUUUUGUGGUAUAAACAGUAUCCAGGAGCCCACAGUGACAGGAAACUGAGAAACACUGUACAACAACCAUACAACACUCUGCACUAUACUGCUGUGCUGUGACGUCCACAGUGACGCAAAAUUUACUGACUCAGCAGUGAGCUGAAUUUUAUGGAUUUACAAGCAUCUGCUGUAGUCUGUUAGACAACAGUGCCAUCAAUCGGAGUCUCUAGUGAAAAAAAUCAAAUGUAUAUGAAACAUCUUUGAUUCUACAUUGUCAGUAGGAGGAGCUAGAGUAAAAAAACUCAGGAUUAGAUUAUGAAUCCUCAAGAUAAAACAUGAUACUACCAUGUAGAUUAUAGCCAGUUGAUGCUGUGCUUUUCAUCAUCAGUUGGUGCUUCUUCUACACAUCCUGCCAUCUACAAUGUUGUUCUGUUCACUAUUACUCUUCUUUGACUUGAAAGGUAAGUAAUUACAUUUUCAUUCAAACUGAGUGUGAUUAUGUUGAGGUAUUUAUUUUUCAAAUCGAAGAUCAUGAAGCACUACAUGAAGAUACAUGUUUUUACUUUGAAUACUUCUUAUUGUUACACUGCGUUUGGAAUUAAUUCAAUCUUCCAUGUGGGUUUAAGUUAUGUGACAGAUCUUCUUUGUGUGUCCUCCUCCUAUAGACUGCCCUCCACAGUUAUGAAGUCCAGUGACAAGGUUUUUCUAUGUAUAAUAAUGAUACAAUAGUUCCAUACAGUGUUCAACAUUCUGCCCAACAAGGUGAAACCUUGACAUUGCUUGUAUUUUCAAGGGCAAGUUACUAGUGAGAGUCAAUAGGUGUCAGUAGAGUCUCAUAGGUUGCUUCUAUUCCUUUCAGCUAGCGAUAUAAGGUUUUUCAUGGGCUGUGUCUCAAUGCACCGCAUCAGCCUAUGGCGGUCUUCUGCAUCGGCAGGGGAAGAUGGCCAAGCUGCAGCGGUGUUUGUCAGACCAUGAGACAUCGUGAAAAUCGAUCUUCUCACAAAUAUGUCUGUAGCAUCCGAACGGUUUGGCCUAAAAAAUGUAUGUGACCACUCUACCGAAAGACGAGACUCUCACUGUCCAUGUGCCAACUUCUGUUUGUGGCGUACCACUAAUGUGACCCCGCUGGGGAAAGGGUAAAUUCUCACGAACACGAUGGCGAAUUUAAGGGGUUAAAUAUGUGUAAAAAAAACAAUAUAUACAUAUAUAUAUAUAUUUCCUGAGCUUUCUUAUAUCUCAGAGUUAAAGGACAGACACUUCAUUUUUUGCCAUUUAUGAACGUGUUAAAUCCUUUUCUAUGGGAUUUUGGUAGUAUAGGGCAAAUUCUAUAUUUUAUCAAAUCAUCUUGUUAUAUAUUUUAUACCUAAAGGUGUCCUAAAAUUUCAAAUCAAGUAGCUUAAUGAUCCAUUCAGUAUGUCCUGAGAAGAGAUAGUUAUGCAGAAGGGAGCAAUGUUGAUGAGUUUAAGAAGAGGUUUGAUUUCAAGGCUAAAUUUCACUUCUAGCUCUGUCCCCUUGACAAUCCAGAGGUCGCAGUUGUUUGACUCUGCUGUGUACAACUCUGCUCUGAGGCCCACUGUGACAACAAGAUGUACAGCCCCCCACAAAAACGAGUAUAUCCUUGGCACCGGUGUAGAAAAAAUGCAAGACUUACAUCUGUGGUGGGUGUGACAUUAGCAGGGCUGUACACCUCACACAGUGACACACAGAAGGAUAUUUCAGAGGAGAGUGAAUGAAUGCAAACAUUCGUCUGAAGAUGGAGAAAUCAAUCAGUGUAUUGAUCAUUCUGAUUAUGACUACAGGUAAACAACACCUCAACAUUUGAACUCCUUGCAUCCUUAUAAUCAGAUUAUUACAUUAUGGUAUUGGUAGU